UACGAAGGGUGCAAGCGUUACUCGGAAUUACUGGGCGUAAAGCGGGCGUAGGCGGUCUGUUAAGUCCGUUGGGAAAGCCCUGGGCUCAACCUGGGAAUUGCAGUGGAUACUGGCAGGCUAGAGUACGGUAGAGGAUGGUGGAAUUCCCGGUGUAGCGGUGAAAUGCGUAGAGAUCGGGAGGAACACCCGUGGCGAAGGCGGCCAUCUGGACCAGUACUGACGCUGAGGCACGGAAGCGUGGGGAGCAAACCGG
Molecule: ribosomal RNA, 253 nt
Filed under: uncultured bacterium
Lineage: Bacteria
Description: partial 16S ribosomal RNA
Rfam family: Bacterial small subunit ribosomal RNA
Source: RNAcentral